GGCGGGGCUGAGCGCGAGACACCGCGAGAGCCGCGUGCGCAGGCGCGCCGGGGCGGAGGCCGCCGUGGGCCGCGUCGUCACGCGCCGUGGAGGGUGCAGGGCGGGCGGAGUCAGGGGACUGGAGUAGUCAAGUCGGCUUGCCCGCUCCCCAAGUCUCGCGUGAUCACGUGGUUGCCACCCAGGCGGAAGUGUCCCACAGCUCUUUUCGGGUGAGGGACUUGCAAGGCAUUGCUAGAAAAGGCAUGAGUUCUGGUGACACUCCAGUCCAGAGUUACCUGGGACCGACUCUUGUCAGGUGUUUCUGCGUCUCCCGGCGCUAGAGAAGCUAGAAAAUAUGGAAGGGGUGGUGGCGGCUGCCUCGCUAGCAAUGGCUGCGGAGGACCGGUCACGUGUCCCCGCUUCCGGCCCCGGGAGCGCUCGGACUCGGGGCAGAGUUUUAAAUGCGGAGUCAUCUCGGGGCUUGAGCUAGUCUUUGGACUUCAAGCUCUGAGGCUUUCGUUGCUCUCCUGAAGGAUGGGCCUUUCGCCUGCAAAAUUGUGUACGUCUUCCUAAACGGGAAGAAAGCUGAUUUGGGCCCACUGUUAACACAUUUCAGAAUUAGUAACCCCUGAACCGGCUGAGUUGUCUCCACCAGUACAGCUAAAAGUUUCUGGGCUUAAGUUUCCCCAAGGUUCGGCCACCUACUAGCCUACUAGUACUUUAAGUGACUUAUAACGGUGGUGGAAAUGCAAAACAAUAAGCGAAACACGAGCCACUGGAUUAUGACAGCACGAUAACGUUUACCCCUCCCCCUCUUUUUAAAAUACUGCCAAAAUUCUGUAACCACAUGGCCUGCGUGUAAUGACUAACAUCUGAAAUACUUCCCCUUGACCCACCAACUCUCGUGGCCUCUCGCUGCGAGAGAGCGGGCAAAAGAAGUCCAUGUCUUGGAGUAUAAAUCAAAAGGCGUUGACCUGCUCUGCUCAGGCAAAUCCCGCCUUUAUGGCAACAUUUCACGCAGAACAGAGAAUUCUGUUUAGAAGGCAGAACUCACAGUACCUAAUUCUCUUUGUCCCUGGGAAUUUUGAGAGACAUGGAAUGUAGUCUGGACAAGUGAGGGAGUUUAUCUUCAUAAACCAAAACGAAAUGUCAAAGUUGUAUGCAACUGAAAGCAUAUUUGGAAAAUCUCAAAGACAACUACCAGAGAGAGGAAAAGAUGCAACGUGCCAGGACCUGAAGGAAGAAAUUAGAGAAAGCAGAGGCCAUUAAUACUCAGAAAUGGGAAGUUGUCGGUAUGUUUGUGAUGGGCAUAGAGAAUAUCAAUUAAUUUUGAGAUUUCUUUUAACACAGCUGAUCCUACGUUCUUGCCUUACCAGUUGCAUUUCAGUUCCCUGCACGGCUUCCUGCGUGAAGGCACUUAAAAAACAGUCCUAGGAAAUCAUAGUGUUCUUGAUACGUAAAAAUAGGGUUCCAUCACCUUUUGUAAUUCAUUUAAUAUUCAGGUGACCAUUAGCCCGAAAAGUUAUACUAAACAGUACCACUACUGGUACUGGCUUAUUAGGACUUCUUUUUACCUCUUUAUGUAUACAUACUACCAAGUAUUUGCACUUGGAAUCCCUCACCUUCCACCUCAUUUUCUUCCCUAACCCCUUGGUAUUCUUGACUAAAUGAUAAAAUGUUUUGCCAUCAGUUAAGAUAAAGACCACUGCAUACAAAACAUGGGUUAGAAUCUAUGAGAUUUAUUCUCCAUGGACUUAUUCCCAAGGGGAUUAGUCACCAUUUUGCUCUGAUUGAGACUGACCUGUGAAGUAACAAAAUACAGUUACUGGAUUAAAAAGACAGAAAACCCAGUUCUGGACUCCUUAUGACAUACUUCAUACUUCUCCGAGGCUCUGAGAUGGCCUCUGUUUUUACACACUUUAAAUUGUAACAGUGCUGAAGCACUUGACUAAUACUGACCCAGAUCUCUUCCCUUCUUUCUCCAGUGUGCCUGGCAUUUAACUAACCACCAUGGAUUCCAUCCAAUUUACUGUUUUCCAUUCCUCAUUCAGUUGUAAUAUGCCUUCAAUCAUUAUAUAUGUGUGCCAGCCAGUUUAGUUUCAGAAAGAGACAUUUCCUGUCUUGCAACAAAAUACUGGGUCUGAAUAAUUUGGAGACUACAGCUGUUUAAUUCACAAAACUGGAAAUCUAUGAAUAGAAAGCUCCUCCCAUGUAAGACUAGAUUUAGCGUUAUACUUAAAUUGUUUUUAUCUGAACUUUUUCUUGGGGGAGGGGAGCUUAAAUAACUUUUCUAAUUUUAGCAGCUCCUUGUACCAUGUUUGAAACAUUUACACUGGAUUUUCAGUUUGUGAACUCAUACUUGGUAACAGCCGUGUAUUUAAACAGAUACAUAUAGUGAUCUCUUUCUUUGUAAUGAAUCUUUUUUUUUUUUUUACUUCUAAGUGUUUUGUACUGGACAAUAAAAGUUACUUCUUUCUUUUAAUGUUAAUAUUCUGACUAAACACUGGAUAACUGCCAAACAAAAGAAGCAACGGAAAAAUUUAGUGCAUAAAUUUUAAUAUACCAUAAACAAAAUGACACCAAACCUUAUAUGUCCAAACAUUAAAAUGUUUUACUGUCCAAAUGACUAUUUCAGCAACAAUGCCAAGAAAGAAAAAAAAUCUAAAAAGACUGCUCAUGGAAAUUAGCUUGAACUAAAAUCUCAUUAUGUAACUUACCUUUAGUUUCCAUGUUCUUAAAUAUGGAUAGAUAGAUAGAUAGAUCAAUAAAGCUAAUUAUCUGGCAUAUUUAGGAAUCAUGCAGCCCUUAUAUACUCAAUAGUACUGGGCACUUUUGGAGAAAACAGAAAUGAAGAGGGAAGAUCUUGUAACUCAAGCUUAACAAUCCUAAUGAAAGCCCCUAUUGUAUGGUGCAUAAUGACAGCAUUCAUUCAAGAUAUUAAAAGCACUGUAUUUCAGUACUACCAAAAAAUUAUAUUCAGAAUUCACAUAUUUUUUAGGCCUUUACAAAAACAAAACAAAAACACCUGUUGAUUUCCACAUGCACUGAUGUUUGAUGCAGUGUAUAAAAAGAAAUUACUGGCCAUACCAAUUACUUUUAUACAUGUACUGAGAUUUUUUUAACUUUUUUUUAAUGUUCUCUUCCUUCUAACUUACAGUUUAAAAUUGCUACUUCAUGUCUUAAAACAGCAACUAACUUGCAAUCAUUUUUUGUAUAUGGAAAUAUAAGCCAGUUAGUGGUGGCUUAGCAAAAAUAACUUAGUGCAGAAUCUGUGCAGUCAGGUUUGACAAUGCCAUUACCUUACUGUGAGACCUUCUGCAGUAACUAAACUUCUCUGUGCUUGAUAAGAUGAAAUAUGGAUUGUUGGGAAGAUCAAAGGUACUAGAAAGUGCUUUGGUAAGUAUUGGGUGGAUGUUUUUAUUAUUAAUGGUAAGUUACAUUAACAACAUCAAAGCAAGGGAAAGAUCUUUUUAACUCACUUUAUAGAACACUCCUAUGAGAUUUUAAUAAUGCUGCCAGUGGUUGAUGAUUAAUUUAUCCACAAAAAGUUUGGCUAAAUUUUGAUAACUUAAGUGGUGAGUAUACAGAGUAAUUUUUGUAUGUAAAUAUAAUAUAUGCUGUUGUGAGAUAAGAUUCCUUAAGCUAAGGGGCACCUGGGUGGCUCAGUCGAUUAAUCCUCUGACUCUUGAUUUCCGACUCUGGUCAUGAUCUCAGGGUCAUGAGAUUGAGCCCCGUGUUGAGCUCCACGUUCAUCGAGGAGUCUGCUUCUUUUCUCUCUACCCCUCCCCCCACCCCCACUCAUGCAUGCUCGCCCUCUCUCUCUCUCAAAUAAUUCUGGAAAAAAAAAAUUCUUUAAGCUAAAUGCUGAUCUAUCAUUGUAAUUCAUCAAGUUGCUUGGUUAUACAUGUGUACAAUUAUACCUAGCAAAACUAUAUAUGAAUUUGUUCAUUGACUCAGCAAUGCCAAUUCUAGGACUCUAUCCCACAGAUAUAGUAGCAGAAAUAUGAAAAGGUAUAUGCCCAGGACUAUUCAAUUAUAGGACUGCUUGUAGCACCAAAAGAAAGGAAACACUCUGAUAUGUCCAUAUAAGGGGAUUGGUUGAAUAAACUAUGGUACUUGCACACAGUGAAAUACUAUACAGCUAUAACAAGGAAUGAGGAAUAUCUCUAUAUACCACUAUAGACUAAUCUUCAGGAUACAGUGUUAAGUGAGAAAAGCAAGUAGAGAUAAGUGUUCUUUGUAUGCUACCAUCUAAGAAAAGAGGAACUAUAACAUUGUGUGUACAUACACUUGCUUACAUUAAAAAAAAAAAAGGAAAGAUUAAACCAUAAUUUUUUUUUAAAGAUUUUAUUUAUUUAUUUGAGACAGAGAGAAUGAGAGACAGCAUGAGAGGGAGGAGGGUCAGAGGGAGAAGCAGACUCCCUGCCAAGCAGGGAGCCCAAUGCGGGACUCGAUCCCGGGACUCUAGGAUCAUGACUUGAGCCUAAGGCAGUCGCUUAACCAACUGAGCCACCCAGGCGCCCCAAACCAUAAUUUUUUUUAAAGGAAGGUUACCUAUAAGGACAAGGAGAAAAUAUUAUGAUGAGGACAGGAAUAGAAACUAGGCUUAUUUAAAUAUAUUUUUUAUAUUUGACUCUGGAAACCUAUUCACUUAAUUAUAAAAUGAAAUUAACUUAUUUAUAAAAUAAAAUUAAUUGUACAUGGUCUCAAAACUGAAAUAAAAUGAAGCAAAUAAACCUAAUAGUAUAUUUCAUAACACACAGAGGGGAACCUUUUCAAGAGACCUUAAAACACAGUAAUUUGGGGUGCUCGGGUGGCUCAGUAGGUUAAGCAUCACCUUCAGCUCAGGUCAUGGGUUCCUGCUCAACGGGGAGCCUGCUUUUCCCUUUCCCUCUCCCCCUCCCCCCUUCUUGUGCUCUCUCUCUCUCUCAUGCUCUCUCUCUCAAAUAAAUAAAAUAUUUUUAAAAAACAGUAAUUUGACUAUACAUCUGUAGGGAGAUAUUUUCUAAAAACAAAGAAAUAGAAAAGUUUUUUUUUUCACUCUUCUCUGUAUUGCUGUGAUGAUGUUUGUAUAUGUAUUCUGGUUUUUUAAAUGUGAAAUGUGAGAUAAAUAAAAUGAGUAAUUAUGUGAUGUUCUAAUUAUAUCAUCUUAAUUGUUCUUGAAAACCAGGAUUCCCAACAUGGAGGAAAGGAAAUGCAGAUGUAAGAUACAAGUAGAUAAGUAAAAUUCUGUAAUCCCGAAUUUGAAUUAGAAGCAUCAUGAUGCAUUGUCUUAUUUUUUACCCUGCCUCUGAAAAGGCCUAGGAAUAACCAAUCCAGUAGCAAUGAGUACACCUAAUGCCUAAAUUAUGGCAUUUCAAGACCAGUAUUCCUUGGAGAAAUGUCUCAUUCUGAGUCCAGGUCAGGACCAAGAAAUGUCUUUUUUCUAAAAAACAACAAAACCCAAACCCAGUGUUUUAGUUGUAAAAUAUACAUAGCUCUGAAAGAGCCUAAACACAGUGACCAAUCUAGCAACUGUGAGCAUCUCUAGCUCUCAGAUUAUGAUCUUGAAAUACCAUUUUCCACUAAAAGGAAUCAAGGCUCCUUGCAGAUAUUGCUGACUCCAGGAUUAGAGCAAGAAAAACAUCAGUUUGAGCCAGAGGAAAUUGCCAAUUAUUGCCCAACCUAAUACAAAAUGAGUCCAGAAUAUCUUUUCAUACAGGUCACAAGGAAGAUGUAUUAGUUUCCCUGGGCUAUUGUAACAAAGUCCCACAAACUGGGUGACUUAAAAUAAUAGAAAUUUAUUUUCUCACACUCCUGGAACCUGGAAGUCUGAAAUCAAGGUGUCAGCGAGACCAUGCUGUAUCUGACCCUCUAAGUAGAAUCCUUCCUCACCUCUUCCCAGCUUCUGGUGUUGGCCUGCAAUCCUUGGUGUUCUUUGGCUUAUGGUCGCAUGCCUCCAAUCUCUGCCUCCAUCUGUACAUGGCAUUCUCCCUGUGUCUUUACAUUGUUUUCCCUCUAUGCAUAUCUGUCUCUGUGUCCCAAAUUCCCCUUUUUGUAAGGAUGCCAGUCAUACUGGAUUAGGGUUUACCCUAAUGACCACCCUAUUUCCAAAUAAGGUCACUUUCUGAGAUACUGGGGUUCAGAUUUCAACAUCGCUUUUUUGGAGGACACAAUUCAACCCAUAACAGAAGAUACCAAAGACUGCUGGUGUCGUGUCAAGAGACUUUAGGAGCCGGGCGCCUGGGUGGCUCAAUUGGUUAAGCGACUGCCUUCGGCUCAGGUCAUGAUCCUGGAGUCCCUGGAUCAAGUCCCGCAUCGGGCUCCCUGCUUGGCAGGGAGUCUGCUUCUCCCUCUGACCCUCCCCCCUCUCAUGUGCUCUCUCUCAUCCUCUCUCACACAAAUAAAUAAAUAAAGUCUUAAAAAAAAAAAAAAAGACUUUAGGAGCCAACAUGAAGAGGCCUCUACUGGCCAAACGUGAGACACUUGGAGUACCAAUAGGAUAGAACUUAAUAGCAAGUUGAAGUACAUCAAAUAUUUAAAUCCAUUAAUUUAUAAUACUGUUAAAGAAACAUGAAAAUGCUAAUUGGUCACUAUUGGAGGAUGCUGGGGAAUUAACUCAUUAUUUUGAAGAGUGGUAAAUGAAGAAAACUAAUCAAGGACUUAUCUAGCCUUUCCUACAUGAACUCUACCACCGAGUACCAAAUGGUAGAUAUCGUGGGUUGAAUGUGACCCCCAAAAGAAAAUGUCCAUGUCCUAAUCCUCAGAACCUGUGAAUGUUACCUUACUUGUAAAAAAAAAAAAAAAAAUGGUCUGUUUUUUCUUAAGAUUUUAUUUAUUUAUUUGAGAAAGAGAACAAGAAAUAGAGAGAAGGAGUGGGGACAGUGGGAGAGAGAGAAGCAGACUUCUGGGCUGAGCCGGGAGCCUAACACGGGGCUCGAUCCCAGGACCCGGAGCUCAUGAGCUGAGCUGAAGGCAGAUGCUUAACCAACUGAGCCACUCAGGUGCCCCAGAAAAAGGGUCUUUCAGAUAUAAUUAUGUUAAGGAGUUUGUGAGGAGAUCAUCCUGGAUUACCCUGGUAGGCCCUAAAUCUGAUGACAGGUGUCCUUAUAAGAGAUACAUAGAGGUGAGCAAAAGAGAAGGAAGAGGUAAUGUAACCACAGUGGUAGAAGCUGGAUAGUUGCAGCCACAGGUAAUGCCGCAGCCACCAGAAAUUGGAAGAGGCAAGGAACAGAGUCUCCCCUAGAGCCUCCGGGACGAAUGUGGCCCUGCCAAUACCUUUAUCUUAGACUUCUGGCCUCCAGAACUGCAAGAGAAUAAAUUUCUGUUGUGUUUAAGCCACCAAGUUCAUGGUUAUUUAUUUCAACAGCCGCAGGAAACUAAUACAGUAGAUGAGAGGAAGUUUCUCAUUGAAGAAGUAGUCCAACUAAUAAGUGAAUAAAGAAUGAGAAAGUAUCUCCAUUUCGCAACCUCUAAUGAAUUGAGAUGGAGGCAUUAAACACUGACACCUGCUGACAUCACAAAAAGGGAAACAACCAGAUGUAUAUGUGUCCUGAUAAAGAACAUGCUACCACCAAUAAGGUAGUCUUACCUUCACGGCCACCACCCAAAAUUAUAAACCCUGAAUCUGACUAGGCUUGUAGUUCCAACUAACAAUUUUCAAAAAAUACAGAAGGUGCAAGGACAUUGCAAACUACAUAUCCGGAAUGCAAUCAGCAAAAUCCAGACGCUGGGAAGCUAUAGGACAAAUGGUCCAGUUUCUUCAACAAAUAAAUUCAGGGAGAGAGAGAGAGGAUCCUAUAGAUUAAAAGACAAGAGUUAUAUCAAUCAAUCACAAUGUGUGGAACUUAUUUGGAUCCUAAUUUAAAUAACUGUAAAAGAAAUGACAAUUAUGACACAAUUGGAAAUUUGCAUACUUCCUGGAUAUUUGAUGAAAUUAAAGAGUUACUGAAUUAAAUUAAAUUGUUCAUGUAAAAUAUCAAAAAUAGGUCCAGUGAAGCUUUAUUUUACAACCAGUGAUGGUUCUUUUUCCAGACGGCUUGUCUUCCAGUUGAAAAACAGUUCAUAUCCCCAAAAAGGCCUGGUACUGUGUUAUAAAGAUCAUGUUGAACAGUGGAGCAAAUGGGAAUUAGAACAUACUUCUGAACUGAGUUCACCAAUAAAGCAAAGCCAUCUCUCUUUCGGACAUGUAGGUUUUUUUUUAUUUUUUCCAUCUGUAAAAUUAGAAUCAAAGAAGGAAGCAAUUCCAAGUUUGAGAUGAAACACAUACUACACUCUGAAUUAGUAAAUUUUUCACCAGUUUCUUUGACGUUAAAUCAUUUGAAUAACUGAUUUCUGUUUCUAAAUUUGUUGAAAAUCAUCUAUUUCCUGAAAUGACUCAGACUGUUUAAAACUAGAGGCCUUAUAUAAAUCUCUAGUCAAGAGAUAUAAUUGCUCAUUUGUCAAGUGUAGAAUGCAUUACCAUUCCUCAAUAAAUGUUAAAUUGAAAUGAUAGAUUUUCCAGCCUUCAGAUAUAUUGUAGUGUGUGAUAAAAGACAAUCAAUACUGUUAGACAAAAUACACCUGAGCCCAGAUAGAACACAGAACUAGGAAACCACAGUCCCUGGGUGGUGUUUCAUUUCUUCAUAUAUUUUGUAGCCUCCUUAGGGAUAUUUAUCACUAACAAUCAUUUUAUUUUCCAAGGAUAGAAUUCAUUACAUAAUAGCUUCUUAAUUUUCUCUAAUUUUAGUGAACGAUACAAUCAAUUCCAAAUCCCUUCUUCCUGUCUCCCCUCUUCCCCGAACUUACCUUCCUUUCUCCUUCCCUCCCUCUUUGCCUCUCAUUGUCUCCAUUACUGUUCCUUUGCUUUUCUUUUUCCUUUUUAAUACCGUAGUUACAGAAUACCAAACAUAGCCUCUUUUCAGUGCCCUUAAUGUAUUUUCACCCUUCCAAUAUUGGCUUAAAAAAUCAAAUCGGAAUUUCUGUCUGACUUUAUAAAAAUGUGAUUGGAUAAUGAUUAUCAGAUACAUACCAUUUUCAAAAUCUCAGUAUGUUCUUAGUCUCCAUAUUUAGCCCUCUGAUUUUUUUUCCUGAACCAAUCAUGACAUUCAAAAAAUAUUUUA
This is a long non-coding RNA of Mirounga angustirostris (Northern elephant seal), 9059 nucleotides long. RefSeq lists it as uncharacterized. The record is from RefSeq and is a predicted model, not a curated record. Lineage: Eukaryota; Metazoa; Chordata; Mammalia; Carnivora; Phocidae. The transcript is spliced from 2 exons.